GCCUGAUUGGCUCAGUCGGUUGAGCGUCCGACUUCAGCUCAGGUCAUGAUCUGGCAGUCUGUGAGUUCGAGCCCCGCGUCGGGCU
This 85-nucleotide transfer RNA is filed under the name Felis catus (domestic cat). It matches the Rfam family "tRNA". From Rfam's summary of the family: Transfer RNA (tRNA) molecules are approximately 80 nucleotides in length. Their secondary structure includes four short double-helical elements and three loops (D, anti-codon, and T loops). Lineage: Eukaryota; Metazoa; Chordata; Mammalia; Carnivora; Felidae. The record is from Rfam by way of RNAcentral.